This 149-nucleotide non-coding RNA is filed under the name Homo sapiens (human). Lineage: Eukaryota; Metazoa; Chordata; Mammalia; Primates; Hominidae. The record is from Rfam by way of RNAcentral.
GCUGGGUGUAGUGGCGCAUGCCUGUAAUCCCAGCUACUCGGGAGGCUGAGGCAGGAGAAUCGCUUGAGCCCAGGAGGCGGAGGUUGCAGUGAGCUGAGAUUGUGCCACUGCACUUCAGCCUGGGCAACAAGAGCGAAACUCUGUCUCAA